CAAGUCGAGCGAACUGAUUAGAAGCUUGCUUCUAUGACGUUAGCGGCGGACGGGUGAGUAACACGUGGGCAACCUGCCUGUAAGACUGGGAUAACUUCGGGAAACCGAAGCUAAUACCGGAUAGGAUCUUCUCCUUCAUGGGAGAUGAUUGAAAGAUGGUUUCGGCUAUCACUUACAGAUGGGCCCGCGGUGCAUUAGCUAGUUGGUGAGGUAACGGCUCACCAAGGCAACGAUGCAUAGCCGACCUGAGAGGGUGAUCGGCCACACUGGGACUGAGACACGGCCCAGACUCCUACGGGAGGCAGCAGUAGGGAAUCUUCCGCAAUGGACGAAAGUCUGACGGAGCAACGCCGCGUGAGUGAUGAAGGCUUUCGGGUCGUAAAACUCUGUUGUUAGGGAAGAACAAGUACGAGAGUAACUGCUUGUACCUUGACGGUACCUAACCAGAAAGCCACGGCUAACUACGUGCCAGCAGCCGCGGUAAUACGUAGGUGGCAAGCGUUAUCCGGAAUUAUUGGGCGUAAAGCGCGCGCAGGCGGUUUCUUAAGUCUGAUGUGAAAGCCCACGGCUCAACCGUGGAGGGUCAUUGGAAACUGGGGAACUUGAGUGCAGAAGAGAAAAGCGGAAUUCCACGUGUAGCGGUGAAAUGCGUAGAGAUGUGGAGGAACACCAGUGGCGAAGGCGGCUUUUUGGUCUGUAACUGACGCUGAGGCGCGAAAGCGUGGGGGAGCAAACAGGAUUAGAUACCCUGGUAGUCCACGCCGUAACGAUGAGUGCUAAGUGUUAGAGGGUUUCCGCCCUUUAGUGCUGCAGCU
RNAcentral lists this ribosomal RNA (815 nucleotides) under Priestia megaterium. Its description in RNAcentral is "bacterial SSU rRNA". It matches the Rfam family "Bacterial small subunit ribosomal RNA", at positions 58 to 853 of the family's 1533-position model. The record is from RNAcentral. Lineage: Bacteria; Bacillati; Bacillota; Bacilli; Caryophanales; Bacillaceae.